Long non-coding RNA from Tachysurus vachellii, 1131 nucleotides. RefSeq lists it as uncharacterized. NCBI's taxonomy places the organism in Eukaryota, Metazoa, Chordata, Actinopteri, Siluriformes, Bagridae. The record is from RefSeq and is a predicted model, not a curated record. The transcript is spliced from 6 exons.
UGCUCUCUGACCAGCCAGAAUAUCUCCUAUGUCUGUGAAGACAUCAGUACAGUCAGAGGAUACAAUUUAAGUGUUCCUGAAAGUGUGUCAUCUGAAUGCCUGAAAGAUUGUGAGCAUGGCUGGUACAAUAAGGAACCUGACCACAACAACCUGUUUGGAUGAAUGGACUGUCACUGCUCUGGAAAAGCCAAUUUCAAGGUUUCCUAUAGAGCUGUUCAAGGGCCUAAGCAUGUAAGUGGGGAGGCAGGCUCAUACGAUGGAAAAUUACAUUUUCUGUGACUCCUAUGCAUCCCUGUGUUCAUUGGGUUAGGAUGGUACUGCAAGACAAAAGGCCGUGAAGUGGCAUCAGUGGUACAGCUCUGCACUGGGUGGAAUCCUAUCUCUCAGGUUGAUCCAUCAAGGUCUCAUGGUGUCUGAAUCCCAGCAACUCACAACUUGGGCUCUUCACAUUAAAGUCAAGGCCUUGACACUUCCCAUUAUAUAUCACAAUCAUUGAUCUGUAAGCUUUAAUCAUUUACAGCAUGCGGUCAUUUGGACUGUUAUUAUGCCCUGUGUUAUUUAUUUUAAUGAAACAAUCAUUUGAUCAUAAAUGUUUUGUGAAUGAUUGAUGGAUAGAUUAAACACGUUGAUUGAGGGAUGGAUGGUCAUUUUAAAUGUAAAUUAAAAAAUAAGCAUACUUAUUCACACUUUAUGGGGCGGAGGCCUUUCAUUUUAAAACCAAAUCUACAUUCAUGCAUUUAACUAACCACUAACUCGUACACCUCUAUUCUAUGCACUUUGUUCCUCUUUCACUCUUUCACUUUUUUAUAUAUUGCAUUGCUUGUUUUUCCCUUUUUUGUAAGUUACUUUGUAUAAAUGAGUAAAUGUAAAGAUGCACAAAAUUAUUUCUGCUAAUGUAGCUCAUCCACCUGAAAGUUUGAUGUUUUGUGUAUGUUGAGAUGCUGUUAACUCACCACAGUUGUAAAAGUGAUUAUAUAAGUUACUAAAUCCUUUCUUAAACCAGUAAGGCCCCUCCAGUGUCACCCAUAUGAGGAUGGGCUCCCCUUUGAGUCUGGUUCCUCUCAAGGUUUCUAUCUUCCAUUCAAGGGAGUUUUUAAGGGAUAAAUACAAACACAUUUAAAUAUAUCUAAU